This 253-nucleotide ribosomal RNA is filed under the name uncultured bacterium. RNAcentral describes it as "partial 16S ribosomal RNA". It matches the Rfam family "Bacterial small subunit ribosomal RNA", at positions 524 to 776 of the family's 1533-position model. The record is from RNAcentral.
UACGAGGGGGGCGAGCGUUGUUCGGAAUUAUUGGGCGUAAAGGGUGCGUAGGCGGUUUGGUAAGUCUUUUGUGAAAUCUCUGGGCUCAACUCAGAGCUUGCAGGAGAAACUGCCGGGCUUGAGUGUGGGAGAGGUGAGUGGAAUUCCUGGUGUAGCGGUGAAAUGCGUAGAUAUCAGGAGGAACACCUGUGGCGAAAGCGGCUCACUGGACCAUAACUGACGCUGAUGCACGAAAGCUAGGGGAGCAAACAGG